UCUCGCGUCAGGAUAUGCCUAGGUGGGAUUAGCUAGUUGGUGAGGUAAGGGCUCACCAAGGCGACGAUCCCUAGCUGGUCUGAGAGGAUGAUCAGCCACACUGGAACUGAGACACGGUCCAGACUCCUACGGGAGGCAGCAGUGGGGAAUAUUGCACAAUGGGCGCAAGCCUGAUGCAGCCAUGCCGCGUGUGUGAAGAAGGCCUUCGGGUUGUAAAGCACUUUCAGUCGUGAGGAAGGUGGUUUNGUUAAUAGCGGCAUCAUUUGACGUUAGCGACAGAAGAAGCACCGGCUAACUCCGUGCCAGCAGCCGCGGUAAUACGGAGGGUGCGAGCGUUAAUCGGAAUUACUGGGCGUAAAGCGCAUGCAGGUGGUUUGUUAAGUCAGAUGUGAAAGCCCGGGGCUCAACCUCGGAAUAGCAUUUGAAACUGGCAGACUAGAGUACUGUAGAGGGGGGUAGAAUUUCA
This 466-nucleotide ribosomal RNA is filed under the name Vibrio alginolyticus. RNAcentral describes it as "bacterial SSU rRNA". It matches the Rfam family "Bacterial small subunit ribosomal RNA", at positions 213 to 671 of the family's 1533-position model. Lineage: Bacteria; Pseudomonadati; Pseudomonadota; Gammaproteobacteria; Vibrionales; Vibrionaceae. The record is from RNAcentral.